This 515-nucleotide ribosomal RNA is filed under the name uncultured bacterium. Its description in RNAcentral is "bacterial SSU rRNA". It matches the Rfam family "Bacterial small subunit ribosomal RNA", at positions 791 to 1316 of the family's 1533-position model. The record is from RNAcentral.
UAGUCCACGCCGUAAACUAUGAUCACUCGAUAUUGGCUUCGGUCAGUGUCCUAGCGAAAGUGUUAAGUAAUCCACCUGGGAAGUACGGUCGCAAGAUUGAAACUCAAAGGAAUUGACGGGGGCCCGCACAAGCGGUGGAGCAUGUGGUUUAAUUCGAUGAUACGCGAGGAACCUUACCAGGGCUUAAAUGGAGAUUGACAGGACUGGAAACAGUUUUUUCUUCGGACAAUUUUCAAGGUGCUGCAUGGUUGUCGUCAGCUCGUGCUGUGAAGUGUCGGGUUAAGUCCCAUAACGAGCGCAACCCCUAUCUUUAGUUGCCAGCGAGUAAUGUCGGGGACUCUAGAGAAACUGCCCGUGCAAACGGUGAGGAAGGUGGGGAUGACGUCAAAUCAUCACGGCCCUUACGUCCUGGGCUACACACGUGCUACAAUGGCCGGUACAGAGGGCAGCUAUCCCGCGAGGGAAUGCGAAUCUCAAAAGCCGGUCUCAGUUCGGAUCGGAGUCUGCAACUCGAC